AUUGAACGCUGGCGGCAGGCCUAACACAUGCAAGUCGAGCGGAUGAAGGGAGCUUGCUCCUGGAUUCAGCGGCGGACGGGUGAGUAAUGCCUAGGAAUCUGCCUGGUAGUGGGGGAUAACGUCCGGAAACGGGCGCUAAUACCGCAUACGUCCUGAGGGAGAAAGUGGGGGUUCUUCGGCCUUCACGCAUCCAGAUGACCCUAGGUCGGAUUAGCUAGUUGGUGGGGUAAAGGCCUACCAAGGCGACGAUCCGUAACUGGUCUGAGAGGAUGAUCAGUCACACUGGAACUGAGACACGGUCCAGACUCCUACGGGAGGCAGCAGUGGGGAAUAUUGGACAAUGGGCGAAAGCCUGAUCCAGCCAUGCCGCGUGUGUGAAGAAGGUCUUCGGAUUGUAAAGCACUUUAAGUUGGGAGGAAGGGCAGUAAGUUAAUACCUUGCUGUUUUGACGUUACCAACAGAAUAAGCACCGGCUAACUUCGUG
Molecule: ribosomal RNA, 484 nt
Filed under: uncultured bacterium
Lineage: Bacteria
Description: partial 16S ribosomal RNA
Rfam family: Bacterial small subunit ribosomal RNA
Source: RNAcentral